UAAAGCGAGCGUAGGUGGCUUGAUAAGUCAGAUGUGAAAUCCCCGGGCUUAACCUGGGAACUGCGUCUGAUACUGUUAGGCUAGAAUAGGUGAGAGGAAGGUAGAAUUCCAGGUGUAGCGGUGAAAUGCGUAGAGAUCUGGAGGAAUACCGAUGGCGAAGGCAGCCUUCUGGCAUCAUAUUGACACUGAGGUUCGAAAGCGUGGGUAGCAAACAGGAUUAGAUACCCUGGUAGUCUACGCCGUAAACGAUGUCUACUAGUCGUUGGGUCCCUUGAGGACUUAGUGACGCAGCUAACGCAAUAAGUAGACCGCCUGGGGAGUACGGCUGCAAGGUUAAAACUCAAAUGAAUUGACGGGGGCCCGCACAAGCGGUGGAGCAUGUGGUUUAAUUCGAUGCAACGCGAAGAACCUUACCUGGUCUUGACAUAUCUAGAAUCCUGCAGAGAUGCGGGAGUGCCUUCGGGAAUUAGAAUACAGGUGCUGCAUGGCUGUCGUCAGCUCGUGUCGUGAGAUGUUGGGUUAAGUCCCGCAACGAGCGCAACCCUUGUCCUUAGUUACCAGCGGGUUAAGCCGGGAACUCUAAGGAUACUGCCAGUGACAAACUGGAGGAAGGCGGGGACGACGUCAAGUCAUCAUGGCCCUUACGACCAGGGCUACACACGUGCUACAAUGGUAGGUACAGAGGGCAGCUACACAGCGAUGUGAUGCGAAUCUUUCAAAGCCUAUCGUAGUCCAGAUUGGAGUCUGCAACUCGACUCCAUGAAGUAGGAAUCGCUAGUAAUC
This 783-nucleotide ribosomal RNA is filed under the name uncultured bacterium. RNAcentral's name for it is "bacterial SSU rRNA". It matches the Rfam family "Bacterial small subunit ribosomal RNA", at positions 561 to 1343 of the family's 1533-position model. The record is from RNAcentral.